RNAcentral lists this ribosomal RNA (448 nucleotides) under uncultured bacterium. RNAcentral describes it as "bacterial SSU rRNA". It matches the Rfam family "Bacterial small subunit ribosomal RNA", at positions 355 to 796 of the family's 1533-position model. The record is from RNAcentral.
UCGAGAAUUUUUCUCAAUGGGGGAAACCCUGAAGGAGCGACGCCGCGUGGAGGAUGAAGGCUUUCGGGUUGUAAACUCCUGUCAUUUGGGAACAAGGUGCACGCGUUAACUGCGCGAGUAUUGAUAGUACCAGAAGAGGAAGAGACGGCUAACUCUGUGCCAGCAGCCGCGGUAAUACAGAGGUCUCAAGCGUUGUUCGGAUUCAUUGGGCGUAAAGGGUGCGUAGGUGGCGCGGUAAGUCGGGUGUGAAAUCUCGGAGCUUAACUCCGAAAUUGCAUUCGAUACUGCCGUGCUUGAGGACUGGAGAGGAGACUGGAAUUCAUGGUGUAGCAGUGAAAUGCGUAGAGAUCAUGAGGAAGACCAGUGGCGAAGGCGGGUCUCUGGACAGUUCCUGACACUGAGGCACGAAGGCCAGGGGAGCAAACGGGAUUAGAUACCCCCGUAGUCC